Molecule: long non-coding RNA, 239 nt
Filed under: Hordeum vulgare
Lineage: Eukaryota; Viridiplantae; Streptophyta; Magnoliopsida; Poales; Poaceae
Description: long non-coding RNA (HVUL_LNC004085)
Source: RNAcentral
ACAACAACAACAGUGACAACAAUGACAAUGGCGACAACAACGACACCACCACCACCGCCAACAACAAUAACGAAGACGACUUUGACGACGACGAUGACGAUGAUGACAGCAACAACAACGAACACGACUUUGACAGCGACGAUGACGAUGAUGAUGACAAUAACAACAACAACAACGACAACAACAACAACAACAACAACAACAAGAACAACAACAACAACAACAACAACAAAAACAAC